GAUUAAGCUAUUAAGAGUAUGUGGUGGAUGAAUUGGCAUCAAGAGGCGAUGAAAGACGUUGUAGCCUGCGAUAAGCCACAGGGAGCUGGCAAACAAGCUUUGAUCUGUGGAUCUCUGAAUGGGGAAACCCAACUCUUCGGAGUUAUCGCUAUCUGAAUGUAUAGGAUAGCGAGGCGAACCUAGCGAACUGAAACAUCUAAGUAGCUAGAGGAAUAUAAAGAAACCUCGAUUCCGUCAGUAGCGGCGAGCGAAAUCGGAAUAGCCCAAACCAGUCUUCGGACUGGGGUUGCGGACACCAAUGUGGUACGGAGUAUGUUUUUGCGAAUGUUCUGGAAAGUUCAACUAUAGAGGGUGAUAGUCCCGUAGCGAGAAUAGAUACCGACCUAGGUGCACCAGAGUAGCGUCGAGCCCGUGAAACUCGGCGUGAAGCUGGAGGGUCCACCCUCCAAGGCUAAAUACUACUUGAUGACCGAUAGCGUAACAGUAGGGUGACUGAAAUUUGAAAAGUUCCCCGAUAAGGGAAGUUAAAAGUACCUGAAACCGCAUACUUACAAGCUGUGGGAGCCAUCUUCGGAUGGUGACCGCGUGCCUUUUGCAUAAUGAGCCGGCGAGUUAAUCUCUGUAGCAAGAUUAAGCCUUACCCAGGCGUAGUCGAAGCGAAAGCGAGUCUUAAAUGGGCGCUGAGUUGCAGGGAUUAGACGCGAAACCAGGUGAUCUACCCAUGGCCAGGUUGAAGGAAGGGUAAAACCUUCUGGAGGACCGCACCCGUCAACGUUGAAAAGUUGUGGGAUGAGCUGUGGGGAGGAGUCAAAGUCUAAUCAAACCUGGAGAUAUCUCGUUCUCCUCGAAAUAGCUUUAGGGCUAGCCUCGUGUUAUAGCGUAUGGGGGUAGAGACACUGAUUGAGGAUGGGGCGGCAUCGCUGUACCCACUUCAGCCAAACUCCGAAUACCAUACGCCUCUAUCACGGGAGUCAGACUGCGGGGGAUAAUCUUCGUAGUCAAAAGGGAAACAACCCAGACCGCCAGCUAAGGUCCCCAAUUCUUUCUUAGUUCUUAAGGAAGUUAGAGUGCAAAGACAGCCAGGAUGUUGGCUUAGAAGCAGCCACCAUUUAAAGAGUGCGUAAUAGCUCACUGGUCGAGGACUCUAGCGCCGAUAAUGAUCGGGAAUAAGUUAGAAACCGAAGCUGCGGAAUAUUUUAAUAUUGGUAGAGGAGCGUUGUUAUCAGCGAUGAAGCAGAACGGGCAACGUUCUGUGGAGCGGUAACAAGUGAUUAUGCCGGCUUGAGUAACGAUAAAACAGGUGAAAAUCCUGUUCGCCGAAAGUCUAAGGUUUCCUGGGGAAGGUAAAUCCGCCCAGGGUUAGUCGGAUCCUAAGGCAAGGCCGAAAGGCGUAGUCGAUGGGCAGCAGGUUAAUAUUCCUGCACCACUAUCUGCGAUUGAAGCGACGUGACGAAUUCUCGUGGUCAUGCCUCCGAAUAGACGUGGAGGUUCCCGCAAGGGCGAGGGCUUAGAACCAUAAGAUGGCGAAGAGAGUUCCCAGAAAUAGCGUUCGUGGACAAAGAUAGUGUCCGUACUAAAACUGACACAGGUAGACGUGAUGAAUAAUCUAAGGCGCUCGAGAGAACGGUUGUUAAGGAAUUAGGCAAAUUCACCCCGUAAGUUCGCGAUAAGGGGGCCCUCACUCUUCGGAGAAGGGCGCAGAGAAAAGGCUCUGGGGACUGUUUAUCAAAAACACAGGACUGUGCAAACUCGCAAGAGGAAGUAUACAGUCUGACGCCUGCUCGAUGCCGGAAUGUUAAGGAAGUAGGUUAGCUUCGGCGAAGCUUACGACUAAAGCACCGGUCAAUGGCGGCCGUAACUAUGACGGUCCUAAGGUAGCGAAGUUCCUUGUCGGGUAAGUUCCGACGCGCAUGAAUGGCGUAACCACUGGAGCACUGUCUCAACAACCGACUCGGUGAAAUAGAAGUCGCGGUGAAGAUACCGCGUACCCGCAGCAAGACGGAAAGACCCCGUGGACCUUUACUGUAGGCUGAUAUUGGCCAAGGUUUUAAACCGCGUAGGAUAGGUGGGAGGCUUUGAACCCCGGACUCUGGUCCGGGUGGAGCCGUCCUUGAAAUACCACCCUGUUUAUAAUUUUGACCUAACCUCUCUCCUUGAAUCAGGAUGAGGUACAGUGUUAGCUGGGCAGUUUGACUGGGGCGGUCUCCUCCUAAAGAGUAACGGAGGAGUGCAAAGGUUGGCUCAAUACGGUUGGAAACCGUAUUUUAGAGUGUAAGAGCAUAAGCCAGCUUUACUGCGAGACAUACUCGUCGAGCAGUUACGAAAGUAGGCUCUAGUGAUCCGGUAGUUCCGAGUGGAAGGGCUAUCGCUCAACGGAUAAAAGGUACCCCGGGGAUAACAGGCUGAUCGCUUCCGAGCGUCCAUAGCGGCGAAGCGGUUUGGCACCUCGAUGUCGGCUCGUCUCAUCCUGGGGCUGAAGGCGGUCCCAAGGGUUGGGCUGUUCGCCCAUUAAAGAGGCACGCGAGCUGGGUUCAGACCGGCGUGAGCCAGGUCGGUCCCUAUCUGCUGUGGGCGUAGCAAUAUUGAGAGGAUUCUUCUUUAGUACGAGAGGAUUAGGAAGGACGUACCCCUGGUGAGCCAGUUGGACUGCUAAGUCCACCGCUGGGUAGCUAAGUACGGCAGGGAUAACCGCUGAAAGCAUCUAAGUGGGAAGCCUCCCUCGAGAUUAGUAUUGCAUGCACACCUAGUGUGCGAGAGACCCCUUGUAGACGACAAGGUUGAUAGGUAGCAGGUGUAAGGAUAGAGAUAUCUUCAGCUGAGCUAUACUAACGGUCGAUCGCUUACUCAU
This 2848-nucleotide ribosomal RNA is filed under the name Planctomycetota bacterium. RNAcentral describes it as "Planctomycetes bacterium 23S ribosomal RNA". It matches the Rfam family "Bacterial large subunit ribosomal RNA". Lineage: Bacteria; Pseudomonadati; Planctomycetota. The record is from RNAcentral.